AUACGUAGGUGGCAAGCGUUGUCCGGAUUUAUUGGACGUAAAGCGAGCGCAGGUGGUUUCUUAAGUCUGAUGUGAAAGCCCACGGCUCAACCGUGGAAGGGUCAUUGGAAACUGGGGAACUUGAAUGCAGAAGAGGAGAGUGGAAUUCCAUGUGUAGCGGUGAAAUGCGUAGAUAUAUGGAGGAACACCAGUGGCGAAGGCGACUCUCUGGUCUGUUAUUGACACUGAGGCUCGAAAGCGUGGGGAGC
This 248-nucleotide ribosomal RNA is filed under the name uncultured bacterium. RNAcentral describes it as "partial 16S ribosomal RNA". It matches the Rfam family "Bacterial small subunit ribosomal RNA", at positions 523 to 769 of the family's 1533-position model. The record is from RNAcentral.